This 482-nucleotide ribosomal RNA is filed under the name uncultured bacterium. RNAcentral describes it as "partial 16S ribosomal RNA". It matches the Rfam family "Bacterial small subunit ribosomal RNA", at positions 30 to 507 of the family's 1533-position model. The record is from RNAcentral.
AUUGAACGCUGGCGGCAUGCUUUACACAUGCAAGUCGAACGGUAACAGGCCGCAAGGUGCUGACGAGUGGCGAACGGGGGAGUAAUGCAUCGGAACGUGCCCAGUCGUGGGGGGUAACUACUCGAAAGAGUAGCUAAUACCGCAUACGAUCUAUGGAUGAAAGCGGGGGAGCGUAAUGCCUCGCGCGAUUGUAGCGGCCGAUGUCAGAUUAGGUAGUUGGUGGGGUAAAGGCUCACCAAGCCAACGAUCUGUAGCUGGUCUGAGAGGACGACCAGCCACACUGGGACUGAGACACGGCCCAGACUCCUACGGGAGGCAGCAGUGGGGAAUUUUGGACAAUGGGCGCAAGCCUGAUCCAGCAAUGCCGCGUGCAGGAAGAAGGCCUUCGGGUUGUAAACUGCUUUUGUACGGAACGAAACGGCUCUGGUUAAUACCCGGGGCUAAUGACGGUACCGUAAGAAUAAGCACCGGCUAACUACGUG